RNAcentral lists this long non-coding RNA (1413 nucleotides) under Elaeis guineensis (African oil palm). RNAcentral describes it as "long non-coding RNA (EGUI_LNC074458)". The record is from RNAcentral. Lineage: Eukaryota; Viridiplantae; Streptophyta; Magnoliopsida; Arecales; Arecaceae.
CCGUUUCAUUCGAAACAAGGCUCUCUUUUUUAUUUCAAAGAAUUUAAAUGAAGUCGGCGGCCCCCAUGCCGACUUCAAUCAGCCCUUCUCAAGCCUUCCGCAGCCCUCCGUCGGCUGCCCACCACCCUCCCUUUAUCUUCAUCCCUCUCCCACCCAUCCCCUCUCUCUCCUCUCUUCCAUCUCCCUCAACCCCUCUUUCAUUGGUUUCUUGAUUUGAAAGUCAGAAUCAUCCCUGUCUACUACUCAUUUGACAUGGUAUGCCUUGAACUAAGCAGUUCAGGAUGAUUCUGCCGAUGCUGGUUUUGAAUCUGAUUCCCUUCCAACCACAUGUUCUCAGUUUUUCUGACUCAUGUUUUUCACUUCACUUUUCUUUUUCCUAGGUAACGAGGGUUUUGGUCUUGCAUGAGUUCCUUUUUUCCUUCAUUAUUCUCUAGUCUUUUCCUUGUUGAUUUCAGCAUUGGUAUGACAGAAGACAACUUGGCUUGCUUGGGGGCUGACUAGGAUUGGUGACAACUUCAAUUUCCGAAGGGCCAACUAGGGUUUUGGUCUUGCAGGGCCAUUCCUCCAGAAACUUUCAUUAGCAUAUCUUCUGUGAUGGUCAUGACUCAUGAUGUUUGUCAUGUGGAAGUCUGCCCCCUCUCCCAAACUAUGAUUUGUUUAUAUUAACGUAUGAUUUCUUUUUGAAUCAGAUUUUGACUGAGUCAAUCGAGUCAAGACUAAUCCAAAAUCUGAGUUUUAUAUAAGUUGAGACUUAUAAAAUUGCUGAGUCAAGUUGGUUUUGCCAAGUGUUGAAUCAACUCAAAUUUUUAAGUUAUGUUUUCUACACAAAAUAAAGCUACGGUUGCAUGCACAUGGUCAUGUUUUCCUGUAUCUAUGCGCCAGGCAAAUAACGGAUGUUUUGCAAAUACACUUGCGGACUCUAGAUAGCAAAGACGGGAUUAUAAAAUGUUUAAUUGCAUGUUUGCAGUUCGUUAACUUCAUUGCAGUGAGAAAGAUAGAGCAAGAGUUCAUGAAUAUUACAUAUCCAACACUCUAAAAUUCUGGAAAAAUGGGUCUAUAAUAAAAUAUGCACCAAAGUAAUUCGUUGGAAACCAAGAACACCAAACUAACAGUAUCUACAAUGCUUAUUUUGUGGAUGGACUGAAGGCAUGGAGCGCUGGAUGUUGUCAAGCUGUUUUAAAGCAGGUAGUAUUGAGAUGCUAAGAAGAGAAAUUUUUUGUGCACCAUGGGUAGUGUAAAAAAUUUGAUGUGGAGUGUAUUGUUUUAUCUAAUUGGUUCAUAUAGUCAUUAUUUGGCAAAGCGCAUUUAAUAUCUGCAGUUUUAUUUUUUUAUUUAAAAUUUUAAAUGAUGAAAAUAUUUUUGCUUUUUGAAAAAAAAAAGAUAUCUUAUAUCUAUAUCAUGAUAUUUUGCAGG